UGCAAGUCGAACGGUAACAGGUCUUCGGAUGCUGACGAGUGGCGGACGGGUGAGUAACGCGUAGGAAUCUGCCCAUCUGUGGGGGAUACCAGUUGGAAACGACUGUUAAUACCGCAUAAUAUCUGCGGAUUAAAGGUGGCCUUUGCGCUGCCGCAGAUGGAUGAGCCUGCGUUGGAUUAGCUAGUUGGUGGGGUAAGGGCCUACCAAGGCUACGAUCCAUAGCUGAUUUGAGAGGAUGAUCAGCCACAUUGGGACUGAGACACGGCCCAAACUCCUACGGGAGGCAGCAGUGGGGAAUAUUGGACAAUGGGGGAAACCCUGAUCCAGCAAUGCCAUGUGUGUGAAGAAGGCUCUAGGGUUGUAAAGCACUUUAGUUGGGGAGGAAAGCCUGUGAGUUAAUAGCUUGCAGGAAGGACGUUGCCCAAAGAAUAAGGACCGGCUAACUCCGUGCCAGCAGCCGCGGUAAUACGGGGGGUCCGAGCGUUAAUCGGAAUUACUGGGCGUAAAGGGUCUGUAGGUGGUUUGUUAAGUCAGAUGUGAAAGCCCAGGGCUCAACCUUGGAACUGCAUUUGAUACUGACAAACUAGAGUAUGGUAGAGGAAUAGGGAACUUCUGGUGUAGCGGUGAAAUGCGUAGAGAUCAGAAGGAACACCAAUGGCGAAGGCAACAUUCUGGACCAAUACUGACACUGAGGGACGAAAGCGUGGGGAUCAAACAGGAUUAGAUACCCUGGUAGUCCACGCUGUAAACGAUGAGUACUAGCUGUUGGAUUCGGUGUAAAGGAUCUAGUGGCGCAGCUAACGCGUUAAGUACUCCGCCUGGGGACUACGGCCGCAAGGCUAAAACUCAAAGGAAUUGACGGGGACCCGCACAAGCGGUGGAGCAUGUGGUUUAAUUCGAUGCAACGCGAAGAACCUUACCUGGUCUUGACAUCCUGCGAACUUUCUAGAGAUAGAUUGGUGCCUUCGGGAACGCAGUGACAGGUGCUGCACGGCUGUCGUCAGCUCGUGUUGUGAAAUGUUGGGUUAAGUCCCGCAACGAGCGCAACCCCUAUUGAUAGUUACCAUCAUUAAGUUGGGUACUCUAUUGAGACUGCCGCUGACAAGGCGGAGGAAGGUGGGGACGACGUCAAGUCAUCAUGGCCCUUACGACCAGGGCUACACACGUGCUACAAUGGGUAUUACAGAGGGCUGCGAAGGUGCGAGCUGGAGCGAAACUCAGAAAGGUACUCUUAGUCCGGAUUGCAGUCUGCAACUCGACUGCAUGAAGUCGGAAUCGCUAGUAAUCGCAGGUCAGAAUACUGCGGUGAAUACGUUCCCGGGUCUUGUACACACCGCCCGUCACACCAUGGGAGUGGGUUGCUCCAGAAGUAGAUAGCUUAACGAAUGGGCGUUUACCACGGAGUGAUUCAUAA
This 1414-nucleotide ribosomal RNA is filed under the name Francisella sp. PQ1104. RNAcentral describes it as "partial 16S ribosomal RNA". It matches the Rfam family "Bacterial small subunit ribosomal RNA". Lineage: Bacteria; Pseudomonadati; Pseudomonadota; Gammaproteobacteria; Thiotrichales; Francisellaceae. The record is from RNAcentral.